RNAcentral lists this ribosomal RNA (505 nucleotides) under uncultured bacterium. RNAcentral describes it as "partial 16S ribosomal RNA". It matches the Rfam family "Bacterial small subunit ribosomal RNA", at positions 28 to 507 of the family's 1533-position model. The record is from RNAcentral.
GACGAACGCUGGCGGCGUGCCUAAUACAUGCAAGUAGAACGCACAGUUUAUACCGUAGCUUGCUACACCAUAGACUGUGAGUUGCGAACGGGUGAGUAACGCGUAGGUAACCUGCCUGGUAGCGGGGGAUAACUAUUGGAAACGAUAGCUAAUACCGCAUAAUAUUAAUUAUUGCAUGAUAAUUAAUUGAAAGGUGCAAUUGCACCACUACCAGAUGGACCUGCGUUGUAUUAGCUAGUAGGUGAGGUAACGGCUCACCUAGGCGACGAUACAUAGCCGACCUGAGAGGGGGAUCGGCCACACUGGGACUGAGACACGGCCCAGACUCCUACGGGAGGCAGCAGUAGGGAAUCUUCGGCAAUGGACGAAAGUCUGACCGAGCAACGCCGCGUGAGUGAAGAAGGUUGUCGGAUCGUAAAGCUCUGUUGUAAGAGAAGAACGGGUGUGAGAGUGGAAAGUUCACACUGUGACGGUAGCUUACCAGAAAGGGACGGCUAACUACGUG